This 1542-nucleotide ribosomal RNA is filed under the name Triticum aestivum (bread wheat). RNAcentral's name for it is "partial small subunit ribosomal RNA". The record is from RNAcentral. Lineage: Eukaryota; Viridiplantae; Streptophyta; Magnoliopsida; Poales; Poaceae.
AUGGCGCUAACGUUGCAACUCGUUGGUGCACCCGCAAUGGAUCAGGCCGGCUCCUACUCCACCUCCACCACGCCCCUGUUGCUCCUCCUCGGCUCCCUCACGCUCGCGGUCUCGCUGUUCGUGCUGAUUGGUCGCAGCAGCCAUGGACGCGGGAAGGCGGGGCUCCCGCCCGGCCCGCCCGCGCUCCUCUUCCUCGCCAAGUUCGUCGCGCUCCGGCGGUCCAUAUUCGACCUGGGCCCGCUGCUCGUCGACCUCCACGCGCGUCACGGCCCCGUCAUCUCCGUGCGCCUCUUCCGCACGCUCGUCUUCGUCGCCGACCGCAAGCUGGCCCACCGCGCGCUCGUCCAGGGCGGCGCCACCUUCGCCGACAGGCCGCCGCCGGUCGACCCCACCCGCAUGUUCACGUCCGGGGGACGUGACAUCAGCUCCUCCUCCUACGGCCCCUACUGGCGCCUCCUCCGCCGGAACCUCGCCGGGGAGGCGCUCAGCCCGGCCCGUGUUGGUCUCUUCGCGCCGGCGAGGAGGUGGGCGUGCGACGGCCUCGUCUCCAGCCUCCUCAGCGAGCAGCAAUCCGCCGUGACGCUCAGGCCGCUCCUUCGCCGCGCCAUGUUCGAGCUGCUCCUGUACAUGUGCUUCGGCGCACGUCUCGGACGGGAAGCGCUCGACGAGGUGGAGGAGCUGCAGCACCAGGCGCUACUCUCGGUCACCACAUUCCCGGUCUUCGCCUUCUUCCCGGCGGUCACUAAGAGGCUCUUCGGCAGACGCUGGGCGGCGUGCCUCGCUGUGCGCAGGAGGCAGGACGAGGUAUUCGUCCCGCUCAUCCACGCGAAGCGUGGCGACGGUGACCCGCCGUGCUACGCCGACUCCCUCCUCGCCGUCCGGGUGGCCGACGAGGGCGGCCGCCAGCUCACUGACGCCGAGAUGGUCGCCCUCUGCUCCGAGUUCAUGAACGGUGGGACAGAUACCACGGUGACCUUGCUGGAGUGGAUCAUGGCCGAGCUCGUGCAACACCCCGACGUCCAGGCCAAGGUCUACGAGGAGGCGAAAGCCAAUCCAGAGCUCAACAACCUGCAGGCAAUGCCGUACCUGAAGGCCGUCGUGCUCGAGGGCCUUCGGCUGCACCCGCCAGGCCACUUCGUCCUCCCGCACGGCGUGCAGAGCGGCGACGCGGAGAUCGCGGCCUACGCGGUGCCCAAGGGAGCGGAGGUCAACUUCCUGGUAGCCGAGAUUGGCCGCGACGAGACUGUGUGGACGGCGGCGCGGGAGUUCCGGCCGGAGAGGUUCCUGGAGGGCGGCGAGGGGCACGGAGUGGACAUCACGGGGAGCAGGGAGAUCAAGAUGAUGCCUUUCGGCGCAGGCCGCAGGAUGUGCCCGGGGUACACGCUGGGCAUGCACCACGCCGAGUACUUCGUGGCGAGAAUGGUGAGGGAGCUGGAGUGGCGGCCGGCAGCUGAGGGGGUGAAGGUGGACAUGGCGGAGACGCUCGAUUUCACCACCGUGAUGAAGCACCCGCUCCGUUCGCUCAUCGUCUCCAGAAGCUAA